RNAcentral lists this ribosomal RNA (425 nucleotides) under uncultured bacterium. Its description in RNAcentral is "partial 16S ribosomal RNA". It matches the Rfam family "Bacterial small subunit ribosomal RNA", at positions 354 to 796 of the family's 1533-position model. The record is from RNAcentral.
GUAGGGAAUCUUGCGCAAUGGGCGAAAGCCUGACGCAGCCAUGCCGCGUGAAUGAUGAAGGUCUUAGGAUUGUAAAAUUCUUUCACCGGGGACGAUAAUGACGGUACCCGGAGAAGAAGCCCCGGCUAACUCCGUGCCAGCAGCCGCGGUAAUACGGAGGGUGCAAGCGUUAUCCGGAAUCACUGGGUUUAAAGGGUACGUAGGCGGUUAAUUAAGUCAGUAGUGAAAGACUGUCGCUCAACGACGGAUGUGCUAUUGAUACUGGUUAACUUGAAUCAGGUUAGAGUUGGCGGAAUGGGUCAUGUAGCGGUGAAAUGCUUAGAUAUGACUUGGAACACCGAUAGCGAAGGCAGCUGACUGAGCCUUGAUUGACGCUGAGGUACGAAAGUGUGGGUAGCGAACAGGAUUAGAUACCCGUGUAGUCC